RNAcentral lists this ribosomal RNA (686 nucleotides) under uncultured archaeon. RNAcentral's name for it is "bacterial SSU rRNA". It matches the Rfam family "Archaeal small subunit ribosomal RNA", at positions 19 to 697 of the family's 1478-position model. The record is from RNAcentral.
RRNAGCCACCGCUAUUGGGGUUCGGCUAAGCCACGCGAGUGGAGGGCGUCCCGCAAGGGAUGGCCCCGCACACGGCUCAGUAACACGUAGUCAACCUACCCUCGGGACGGGGACAACCUCGGGGAACUGAGGACAAUUCCCGAUAGGUGAGGGACGCUGGAAUGCCCCCUCGCCCAAAUCCUCUGGGGCCCGAGGAUGGGACUGCGGCCUAUCAGGCUGUUGGUGGUGUAACGGACCACCAAACCUGUAACGGGUACGGGCGAUGGGAGUCGGAGCCCGGAGAUGGGGACUGAGACAAGGCCCCAGGCCCUACGGGGCGCAGCAGGCGCGAAAACUCCGCAAUGCGCGCAAGCGUGACGGGGGGACCCCAAGUGCCGUUGGUCUUUGAUCGACGGCUUUUCAGGAGUCUAAGAAGCUCCUGGAAUAAGGGCUGGGUAAGUCGGGUGCCAGCCGCCGCGGUAAUACCCGCAGCCCAAGUGGUGGUCGCGAUUAUUGGGCCUAAAGCGCUCGUAGCCGGGCUGGCAAGUCCCUUGUGAAAUCGGACCGCCUAACGGUUCGGCGUGCAAGGGAUACUGUCGGUCUUGAGGCCGGGAGACGUCUGAUGUACUCCGGGGGUAGCGGUGAAAUGCCGUAAUCCUCGGGGGACCACCAGUGGCGAAGGCGUCAGACGAGAACGGACCUGACGG